CGUGGUCCCCCUGAGGGUUAAAAUGGGAAUGGGGUGCGAGUCCCCUACUGUCCCGCAGCUGUGAGUCGUCCUUCCACACGGAGCAAGCAAUCAAGUCACUGAGAUUAUCGGGAAGACGCUUGCCUUCCAGGCGACGAGUCAGAAGACCUGCCACGCAG
Molecule: non-coding RNA, 158 nt
Filed under: uncultured Prevotella sp.
Lineage: Bacteria; Pseudomonadati; Bacteroidota; Bacteroidia; Bacteroidales; Prevotellaceae
Source: RNAcentral